UUAAAGUGUAAUCAUAAGUUUUUCGUUCAACUUUGAUCGUCCGUCUUAUUAGAAAUUUUUUUAUUAGAAAAUUUUUUUAUAAUUAGUAUUUUUUGUUGUUAUGAGAUGAUAAAACAUGAAUAAUCCUUUACUUGUGAUUUAUGUUUAUUAAUUUUUUCAAAAUUUUUUUAAAUAAGACAGACGAUCAAAGUUGAGCGCGGCUGCAUUUAAA
Molecule: microRNA precursor, 211 nt
Organism: Oryza sativa Indica Group (long-grained rice)
Lineage: Eukaryota; Viridiplantae; Streptophyta; Magnoliopsida; Poales; Poaceae
Rfam family: MIR812 microRNA precursor family
Source: Rfam